UUCCAGCAAUGUUCCUUUGUAUGCUUUGAUUUUCCACAGUAAUUAUUGUGUAAAUGAUCCUUAUCCGAUAGACCAUUAAGGGACGUGAUUGUUCUCGGGAGGAACCAGCUACUAACUUUGCCUUAUCAGUAGGUAAAGAAUGGAUCAUGACACUUCUACUUUCCUCCUACUAUACAUAUGAAUAAGUUUGCCUUAGGGAAGACAUGGGGUCCUUGCCAAGCACUUAGACCCCAAUCUAAUUAUACUCUAUGUCUAACCCAACAAGGAAGUCAUAGAUCCAUUCUUUUUCAAUCAAUUUUUGGAAUUUAACAGCAUCCGAAGUACAAGUG
Molecule: unclassified non-coding RNA, 329 nt
Filed under: Hevea brasiliensis (rubber tree)
Lineage: Eukaryota; Viridiplantae; Streptophyta; Magnoliopsida; Malpighiales; Euphorbiaceae
Source: RNAcentral